Molecule: ribosomal RNA, 492 nt
Filed under: uncultured bacterium
Lineage: Bacteria
Description: partial 16S ribosomal RNA
Rfam family: Bacterial small subunit ribosomal RNA
Source: RNAcentral
GGUGAACGCUGGCGGUAGGCCUAACACAUGCAAGUCGAACGGCAGCACAGUAAGAGCUUGCUCUUACGGGUGGCGAGUGGCGGACGGGUGAGGAAUACAUCGGAAUCUACUUUUUCGUGGGGGAUAACGUAGGGAAACUUACGCUAAUACCGCAUACGACCUACGGGUGAAAGCAGGGGAUCUUCGGACCUUGCGCGAUUGAAUGAGCCGAUGUCGGAUUAGCUAGUUGGCGGGGUAAAGGCCCACCAAGGCGACGAUCCGUAGCUGGUCUGAGAGGAUGAUCAGCCACACUGGAACUGAGACACGGUCCAGACUCCUACGGGAGGCAGCAGUGGGGAAUGUUGGACAAUGGGCGCAAGCCUGAUCCAGCCAUACCGCGUGGGUGAAGAAGGCCUUCGGGUUGUAAAGCCCUUUUGUUGGGAAAGAAAAGCAGCAGGUUAAUACCCCGCUGUUCUGACGGUACCCAAAGAAUAAGCACCGGCUAACUUCGUG